RNAcentral lists this ribosomal RNA (493 nucleotides) under uncultured bacterium. RNAcentral describes it as "partial 16S ribosomal RNA". It matches the Rfam family "Bacterial small subunit ribosomal RNA", at positions 28 to 507 of the family's 1533-position model. The record is from RNAcentral.
GAUGAACGCUGGCGGCGUGCCUAAUACAUGCAAGUCGAGCGAACGGACGAGAAGCUUGCUUCUCUGAUGUUAGCGGCGGACGGGUGAGUAACACGUGGAUAACCUACCUAUAAGACUGGGAUAACUUCGGGAAACCGGAGCUAAUACCGGAUAAUAUUUUGAACCGCAUGGUUCAAAAGUGAAAGACGGUCUUGCUGUCACUUAGAUGGAUCCGCGCUGCAUUAGCUAGUUGGUAAGGUAACGGCUUACCAAGGCAACGAUGCAUAGCCGACCUGAGAGGGUGAUCGGCCACUGGAACUGAGACACGGUCCAGACUCCUACGGGAGGCAGCAGUAGGGAAUCUUCCGCAAUGGGCGAAAGCCUGACGGAGCAACGCCGCGUGAGUGAUGAAGGUCUUCGGAUCGUAAAACUCUGUUAUUAGGGAAGAACAUAUGUGUAAGUAACUGUGCACAUCUUGACGGUACCUAAUCAGAAAGCCACGGCUAACUACGUG